Molecule: ribosomal RNA, 253 nt
Filed under: uncultured bacterium
Lineage: Bacteria
Description: partial 16S ribosomal RNA
Rfam family: Bacterial small subunit ribosomal RNA
Source: RNAcentral
UACGGAGGGUGCAAGCGUUGUUCGGAAUUAUUGGGCGUAAAGAGCGUGUAGGCGGUUGAACAAGUCAGAUGUGAAAUCCCUCGGCUUAACCGAGGAAGUGCAUUUGAAACUGUUCAGCUAGAGUACGGGAGAGGGGAGCGGAAUUCCCGGUGUAGAGGUGAAAUUCGUAGAUAUCGGGAGGAACACCGGUGGCGAAGGCGGUUCCCUGGCCCGAUACUGACGCUGAGACGCGAAAGCGUGGGGAGCAAACAGG